AGUGAACGCUGGCGGUAGGCCUAACACAUGCAAGUCGAACGGCAGCACAGUAAGAGCUUGCUCUUACGGGUGGCGAGUGGCGGACGGGUGAGGAAUACAUCGGAAUCUACUUUUUCGUGGGGGAUAACGUAGGGAAACUUACGCUAAUACCGCAUACGACCUACGGGUGAAAGCAGGGGAUCUUCGGACCUUGCGCGAUUGAAUGAGCCGAUGUCGGAUUAGCUAGUUGGCGGGGUAAAGGCCCACCAAGGCGACGAUCCGUAGCUGGUCUGAGAGGAUGAUCAGCCACACGGGAACUGAGACACGGUCCAGACUCCUACGGGAGGCAGCAGUGGGGAAUAGUGGACAGUGGGCGCAAGCCUGAUCCAGCCAUACCGCGUGGGUGAAGAAGGCCUUCGGGUUGUAAAGCCCUUUUGUUGGGAAAGAAAAGCAGCAGGUUAAUACCCCGCUGUUCUGACGGUACCCAAAGAAGAAGCACCGGCUAACUUCGUG
Molecule: ribosomal RNA, 492 nt
Filed under: uncultured bacterium
Lineage: Bacteria
Description: partial 16S ribosomal RNA
Rfam family: Bacterial small subunit ribosomal RNA
Source: RNAcentral